Long non-coding RNA from Morone saxatilis (striped sea-bass), 654 nucleotides. RefSeq lists it as uncharacterized. The record is from RefSeq and is a predicted model, not a curated record. The transcript has 2 exons. NCBI's taxonomy places the organism in Eukaryota, Metazoa, Chordata, Actinopteri, Moronidae.
AGAGAUAAAGGAGGCAGUUAUUCUGGUGUUUGCUAAAAAACAGGAUCUUCCCACGCAAUGGGAGGUCAGUGAACUCACCGACAAACUGGUCUGCACAGCCUGCGCAGCAGAACUUGGCACGUCCAGGCCACCUGUGCCACUCAGGGUAACGGUCUGUACGAGGGUCUGGACUGGCUCUCCAGCGAGCUGUCGAAACGCUAGAUCACCUGACAGGAAGCAGCUGAAUGAUGUCAUCAAACUGACGAAGAGGAGGAGGAAGGGGAAGAAGGAGCAGGAGAAGAGGAAGAGGAGGAAGAAUAUGAAAGGACUGUUUUUUUUUUUUCUUUUUAAAUUAUAAAUAUGUCUGUCUGUCUGUAGGAGGAAGUGAUGUCAUGGACUCUGAGCUCACUUUUAUUUCCCAUCAUCCUCCUCUUCUUCCUUGUUUUUGUUUUAAUCCGCAUGUUUUAACUCCGAAUCAUGUGACAGGAUGUAAUGGAAGAGGAGGGGCGGGGUCAGCUACAGGUGACUGUACCUGUGGGGGGCGGGGUUUGGAAGGUGAGUUACCUGAACGUGUGAUGACCCAUUCCACAGAGCCGUACCUGAAGGCGUCGUCAUUCCUUAACAAUGUGAAGAAGAAGAGACGAUGAUGCAAUAAAGGUUUUUUUUUUCUUCUCA